RNAcentral lists this ribosomal RNA (497 nucleotides) under uncultured bacterium. RNAcentral describes it as "partial 16S ribosomal RNA". It matches the Rfam family "Bacterial small subunit ribosomal RNA", at positions 28 to 507 of the family's 1533-position model. The record is from RNAcentral.
GAUGAACGCUGGCGGCGUGCCUAAUACAUGCAAGUCGAGCGAACAGAUGAGGAGCUUGCUCCUCUGACGUUAGCGGCGGACGGGUAAGUAACACGUGGAUAACCUACCUAUAAGACUGGGAUAACUUCGGGAAACCGGAGCUAAUACCGGAUAAUAUAUUGAACCGCAUGGUUCAAUAGUGAAAGACGGUUUUGCUGUCACUUAUAGAUGGAUCCGCGCCGCAUUAGCUAGUUGGUAAGGUAACGGCUUACCAAGGCAACGAUGCGUAGCCGACCUGAGAGGGUGAUCGGCCACACUGGAACUGAGACACGGUCCAGACUCCUACGGGAGGCAGCAGUAGGGAAUAUUCCGCAAUGGGCGAAAGCCUGACGGAGCAACGCCGCGUGAGUGAUGAAGGUCUUCGGAUCGUAAAACUCUGUUAUUAGGGAAGAACAAAUGUGUAAGUAACUAUGCACGUCUUGACGGUACCUAAUCAGAAAGCCACGGCUAACUACGUG